GUCCAAGGCCAUAUCACCCUGAUUAUGCCCAAUCUUGUCUGGUCUCGAAAGCUAAGCAGGGUCAGCCCUGGUUCGUACUUGGAUGGAAGACAGAUCUUCAGAAGAGACUGUCAGAGACAGCAGUUUGGAGA
RNAcentral lists this ribosomal RNA (131 nucleotides) under Castor canadensis (American beaver). Lineage: Eukaryota; Metazoa; Chordata; Mammalia; Rodentia; Castoridae. The record is from RNAcentral.